RNAcentral lists this ribosomal RNA (663 nucleotides) under uncultured fungus. RNAcentral describes it as "eukaryotic LSU rRNA". The stretch from base 261 to 414 matches the Rfam family "5.8S ribosomal RNA". The record is from RNAcentral. Lineage: Eukaryota; Fungi.
CUUGGUCAUUUAGAGGAAGUAAAAGUCGUAACAAGGUUUCCGUAGGUGAACCUGCGGAAGGAUCAUUAUUGAGUUUUGAAUGGGUUGUCUGCUGGCUCGCAAGGGCAUGUGCACGCCUGUCUCAUCCACUCUCAACUUCUGUGCACUUUUCAUAGGCCGGCUUGUGGGUGCGUUCGCGCACUUGUAGGUGUCGGGCUUAUGCUUUACUACAAACGAUUCAGUUUUAGAAUGUCAUACUUUGCUAUAACGCAAUUAUAUACAACUUUCAGCAACGGAUCUCUUGGCUCUCGCAUCGAUGAAGAACGCAGCGAAAUGCGAUAAGUAAUGUGAAUUGCAGAAUUCAGUGAAUCAUCGAAUCUUUGAACGCACCUUGCGCUCCUUGGUAUUCCGAGGAGCAUGCCUGUUUGAGUCUCAUGGAAUUCUCAACCUUCAGCUUUAUUGAUGAAGGCUUGGACUUGGAGGUCGUGCCGGCUCUCGUAGUCGGCUCCUCUGAAAUGCAUUAGUGCGAACGUUACCAGCCGCUUCAGCGUGAUAAUUAUCUGCGUUGCUGUGGAGGGUAUUCUAGUGUUCACGCUUCUAACCGUCUUCGGACAAAUUUCUGAACUCUGAGCUCAAAUCAGGUAGGACUACCCGCUGAACUUAAGCAUAUCAAUAAGCGGAGGA